Molecule: ribosomal RNA, 497 nt
Filed under: uncultured bacterium
Lineage: Bacteria
Description: partial 16S ribosomal RNA
Rfam family: Bacterial small subunit ribosomal RNA
Source: RNAcentral
GAUGAACGCUGGCGGCGUGCCUAAUACAUGCAAGUAGAACGCUGAAGCUUGGUGCUUGCACCGAGCGGAUGAGUUGCAAACGGGUGAGUAACGCGUAGGUAACCUGCCUCUUAGCGGGGGAUAACUAUUGGAAACGAUAGCUAAUACCGCAUAAAAGUUGACAUUGCAUGAUGUUGAUUUGAAAGAUGCAAUUGCAUCACUAAGAGAUGGACCUGCGUUGUAUUAGCUAGUUGGUGAAGUAACGGCUCACCAAGGCGACGAUACAUAGCCGACCUGAGAGGGUGAGCGGCCACACUGGGACUGAGACACGGCCCAGACUCCUACGGGAGGCAGCAGUAGGGAAUCUUCGGCAAUGGACGGAAGUCUGACCGAGCAAAGCCGCGUGAGUGAAGAAGGUUUUCGGAUCGUAAAGCUCUGUUGUAAGAGAAGAACGAGUGUGAGAGUGGAAAGUUCACACUGUGACGGUAACUUACCAGAAAGGGACGGCUAACUACGUG